Molecule: ribosomal RNA, 252 nt
Filed under: uncultured bacterium
Lineage: Bacteria
Description: partial 16S ribosomal RNA
Rfam family: Bacterial small subunit ribosomal RNA
Source: RNAcentral
UACAGAGGAUGCGAGCGUUAUCCGGAUUUAUUGGGUUUAAAGGGUGCGUAGGCGGCCUGCCAAGUCAGCGGUAAAAUUGCGGGGCUCAACCCCGUACAGCCGUUGAAACUGCCGGGCUCGAGUGGGCGAGAAGUAUGCGGAAUGCGUGGUGUAGCGGUGAAAUGCAUAGAUAUCACGCAGAACCCCGAUUGCGAAGGCAGCAUACCGGCGCCCUACUGACGCUGAGGCACGAAAGUGCGGGGAUCAAACAGG